RNAcentral lists this long non-coding RNA (1505 nucleotides) under Triticum aestivum (bread wheat). RNAcentral describes it as "long non-coding RNA (TAES_LNC022917)". The record is from RNAcentral. Lineage: Eukaryota; Viridiplantae; Streptophyta; Magnoliopsida; Poales; Poaceae.
CAUAAUCGACUUACACUGGCUCCAGAUCGACAUACAAGGCCCUUGAAACGUGUUGAAUGCAUCCGUUGCAACCCGGCCCAACACAGCUAUCACUACGAAAGGAUGACACAACUUAGGAUUGGGCAACAUAAAGCUGGACUUUAUCGUUGUUACAAACCAAGACACUUGUUAGUAUGAAAUCCAGAGAAUAUUGUUUUAGAAAAGUAAAAAUAACUGGGUGCCUAUCAAUUCAUAAAAGUACCCAGAUGCCUACUAAAAUUAAACUGGAUCAACAAAUCAUCUAGCAAAAAUCCCUGAACGUUACACCUUUUCAUCAUUCGCCAAUUCAAUUAUGAAAAAACAAAUCAUCAAUCAAUGAUAUGAAAUAGUGGCAGUAUGCUGCAUUUGGGCUAUAGUUUCUGCAGCUGAUGGAGCAAGUGCAAAAGAUACCCAACACUUCACACGGCGAGGCACAUCUUAUUCCCUAUUUUAGCUUUUGGACCAAGACCACACGGAGAGACCCGUCGUCCAUGGCAAGAACUGUCUUGGCAAGGAUUGAAAAGAUUCAAGGCCCUACAAUGACGAUGGAUCCCAGUGCUAGCUAAAUAUGUCUUCUAAUUUACUGAAUGCCUGAAUGCAAUGCCCUAAUCACGGAGCGGCGACUUUUGAAUGUGAUGCACUAAUCUCACGACUCCUCAUGUGGAGGCGGCAGAUUAGCGUGCCAGGCCGCCACCGACGUCCGAGCUCUAUGCAAACUUGUGGGAUCCUGGGGGAGUGAGCGCCCAGGAUAGUACGGCACCUAUGCAUACACACACACCAGUACAAGAAGUUCUCCGAAACGUCGCAGAACAGCGGAUCAAGCCGCCGUGUCGACCGCCGAGCCCUCCUUCCACGCUGCCGCAGAUCAGUCGGUCGUCCCGUCAUCGUUGACCGAGCUCUCCAUUAGUGCCACUGUAGAGCAGCCUGCCACAUCACCGCGCCAAGCUCUCCAUCCGACCCACCACAUAACUUUGCCUUGUACUCUAAGAAUAUAAUAGUUAGCAAAUCAAUUGGUUGUCAAGAAAUAAACAAGCGACUGUCUUCUGUAUAUUACUGUCAGUUGUUCAAUGAAGAUGGCUGUGCAUUGUGGAAUUACUCCACUCAAAAUACUGGAAUGCCCAAACUGAAGACCUAGACACCUAACAACUAUUUUAUAAAGAACCCCACAUAGUUCUUUUAUAGAGAACUUCGCAAACCUCGACUAAUCUAUAUCAUGCAUGGAAAGUAUCAAUCAUAUAUAUCUUCAGAAUCCCCAUACACAUCAAGAAGCAUUAUAUCCCUUUUCUUAUUGUUAAAUCAUUCUUAUUUCCUCCUUGAACCAAACUCGCCAUGCCUAUAUGCUUCGAGCCAAGGGAAUAUUGUACUAUGCAGAGGAGAAGAUUAACACUCCAUAUUGAGAGAACAAAUCAAGUUUAGUAUAGGUGGUACCAGUGCCAUGUUUGAGAUCAUGUCGUCGCUGCUGAACCUUGUACUAUGUCAUCUAGCAG